RNAcentral lists this ribosomal RNA (247 nucleotides) under uncultured phototrophic eukaryote. RNAcentral's name for it is "partial 16S ribosomal RNA". It matches the Rfam family "Bacterial small subunit ribosomal RNA", at positions 439 to 700 of the family's 1533-position model. The record is from RNAcentral.
UUAAGGAAGAAGAUUUGACGGUACUUAAGGUGGAAAGCAUUGGCUAACUCCGUGCCAGCAGCCGCGGUAAGACGGGGGAUGCAAGUGUUAUCCGGAUUUACUGGGCGUAAAGCGUUUGCAGGUGGUUUUUUAAGUCUACUGUUAAAUCUUGAGGCUCAACCUCAAAUUUGCAGUAGAAACUAGAAGACUUGAGUAUAGUAGGGGUAGAGGGAAUUUCCAGUGGAGCGGUGAAAUGCGUAGAUAUUGG